CGUGGAGCGAUUUGUCUGGUUUAUUCCGAUAACGAGCGAGACUCUAGCCUACUAAAUAGUUCGCACAUUGUCAACUUGUGUGCGCUUACUUCUUAGAGGGAUUUUCGGUGUUCAGCCGCACGAGAUUGAGCAAUAACAGGUCUGUGAUGCCCUUAGAUGUCCGGGGCUGCACGCGCGCUACACUGGCGAAAUCAGCGUGCUUAUCCUCUCUCGAAAGGGAUUGGUAAACCAUUGAAAAUUUGCCGUGAUUGGGAUCGGAAAUUGCAAUUAUUUUCCGUGAACGAGGAAUUCCAAGUAAGUGCGAGUCAUCAACUCGCGUUGAAUACGUCCCUGCCCUUUGUAC
This 343-nucleotide ribosomal RNA is filed under the name Nematoda environmental sample. RNAcentral's name for it is "SSU rRNA". It matches the Rfam family "Eukaryotic small subunit ribosomal RNA", at positions 1300 to 1665 of the family's 1831-position model. Lineage: Eukaryota; Metazoa; Nematoda. The record is from RNAcentral.